RNAcentral lists this ribosomal RNA (411 nucleotides) under uncultured Gammaproteobacteria bacterium. RNAcentral's name for it is "bacterial SSU rRNA". It matches the Rfam family "Bacterial small subunit ribosomal RNA", at positions 45 to 452 of the family's 1533-position model. The record is from RNAcentral. Lineage: Bacteria; Pseudomonadati; Pseudomonadota; Gammaproteobacteria.
GGCCUAACACAUGCAAGUCGAGCGGUAACAGGACUAGCUUGCUAGUUGCUGACGAGCGGCGGACGGGUGCGUAACACGUAGGAAUCUGCCCGGUAGUGGGGGAUAGCCCGGAGAAAUCCGGAUUAAUACCGCAUACGCCUUACGAGGGAAAGAAGGGGCCUCUUCGGAGCCUUUCGCUAUCGGAUGAGCCUGCGUCGGAUUAGCUAGUUGGUGGGGCAAAGGCCUACCAAGGCGACGAUCCGUAGCUGGUCUGAGAGGAUGAUCAGCCACACUGGGACUGAGACACGGCCCAGACUCCUACGGGAGGCAGCAGUGGGGAAUAUUGCACAAUGGGGGAAACCCUGAUGCAGCCAUGCCGCGUGUGUGAAGAAGGCUCUAGGGUUGUAAAGCACUUUCAGCGAGGAGGAAAGG